GGAAUGGCCGGCAGGGAGGAGGCACCGGUGGCAGAAGGGAAGCCGGCUCUGGCCGGGGAAAGGUGGUGCCGGGACCAGAAGGCCGAGGGGGUCCCAUUUCCCUCGGUAGUGGCGGUCGGCAAAGGUCACGACAGCAGCCAGCGGCAGGCGGCGGAUGCUGCAGUGGUGGUAGUGCUCCGGCAGAACUCCGGUGAGGGAGGUGGCCGGGGAAGGUCCUACAGA
This 222-nucleotide long non-coding RNA is filed under the name Oryza brachyantha (malo sina). RNAcentral describes it as "long non-coding RNA (OBRA_LNC001007)". Lineage: Eukaryota; Viridiplantae; Streptophyta; Magnoliopsida; Poales; Poaceae. The record is from RNAcentral.